Molecule: ribosomal RNA, 194 nt
Filed under: uncultured eukaryote
Lineage: Eukaryota
Description: partial 18S ribosomal RNA
Rfam family: Eukaryotic small subunit ribosomal RNA
Source: RNAcentral
UCAACCUGGUUGAUCCUGCCAGUAGUCAUAUGCUUGUCUCAAAGAUUAAGCCAUGCAUGUCUAAGUAUAAGCACUCUAUACUGUGAAACUGCGAAUGGCUCAUUAAAUCAGUUAUAGUUUAUUUGAUAGUACCUUACUACUUGGAUAACCGUGGUAAUUCUAGAGCUAAUACAUGCUAAAAACCCCGACUUACG